AGGCGAUGAAGGACGUACUAGACUGCGAUAAGCUACGGGGAGCUGUCAAGAAGCUUUGAUCCGUAGAUUUCCGAAUGGGGCAACCCAACUAGCACUAGCUAGUUACCUUUAAUGGAGCGAACCCAGCGAAGUGAAACAUCUCAGUAGCUGGAGGAAAAGAAAUCAAAUGAGAUUCUCUUAGUAGCGGCGAGCGAACGGGGAAGAGGGCAAACCGAAUGCUUGCAUUCGGGGUUGAGGACUGCGACAUCCACUGAGAUCAUUUAGUAGAACAAUCUGGAAAGUUUGGCGACACAGGGUGAUAGCCCCGUAUACGAAAGAUGAUUUCUAGGUAGCAGGAUCCAGAGUAGGCCAGGACACGUGAAAUCCGGGCUGAAGCCGGGGAGACCACUCUCCAACCCUAAAUACUACUCUCUUACCGAUAGUGCACAAGUACCGUGAGGGAAAGGUGAAAAGAACCGCAGUGAGCGGAGUGAAAUAGAACCUGAAACCAUCUGCCUACAAUCAUUCAGAGCCCUAUGAUACAUCCCAUAAAGUUUUACUUUAUAGCGCGUAUCUCAAUAAUUAUAUCAUUGGAGUCUCCAUAAGAUCGUAAGGUUUUAUGGGGUGUAUCAGGGUGAUGGACUGCCUUUUGCAUAAUGAUCCUGCGAGUUGUGGUAUCUGGCAAGGUUAAACAAACGUGAAGCCGUAGCGAAAGCGAGUCUGAAAGGGCGCUUAGUCAGAUGCUGCAGACCCGAAGCUGAGUGAUCUAUCCAUGGCCAAGUUGAAGUAAGUGUAAUAGCUUAUGGAGGACUGAACUCGUACCCAUUGAAACGGGUUGGGAUGAGCUGUGGAUAGGGGUGAAAGGCCAAACAAACUCAGUGAUAGCUGGUUCUCUUCGAAAUAUAUUUAGGUAUAGCCUCAAGUGAUAGUAAUAGGGGGUAGAGCUCUGAUUGGGCUAGGGCUGCUCACCGCGGUACCAAACCCUGUCAAACUUCAAAUACCUAUUACCGUAUCUUGGGAGUCAGGCGGUGGGUGAUAAAAUCAAUCGUCAAGAGGGAAACAACCCAGACUACCAACUAAGGUCCCCAAGUUCUAUUCUAAGUGGAAAAAGAUGUGGAGUUACUCAGACAACCAGGAGGUUGGCUUAGAAGCAGCCAUCCUUUAAAGAAAGCGUAACAGCUCACUGGUCUAGUGAUUCUGCGCUGAAAAUAUAACGGGGCUAAGAUAGACACCGAAGUUGUAGAUUGUGCUUUGCACAGUGGUAGAAGAGCGUUCGUAUCUGCGUUGAAGGUAUACCGGUAAGGAGUGCUGAAGCGAUGCGAAGUGAGCAUGCAGGAAUGAGUAGCGAUAAAAUAUGUGAGAAUCAUAUUCGCCGUAAAUCUAAGGUUUCCUACGCUAUGCUCGUCAUCGUAGGGUUAGUCGGGUCCUAAGACAAGUCCGAAAGGGGUAGUCGAUGGAAAAUGGGUUAAUAUUCCCAUACCAACCAUUGUGUGCGAUGGGGGGACGCAUAGGGUUAAGUGCGCUAACUGAUGGAAUAGUUAGUUUAAGAGUGUAAGUUGGGAGAUAGGCAAAUCCACUCCUGUAUCACAAGCUCGAUGAGCUCUUUGAAGUCUUCGGAUGGAUAAGAGUGUCACUGAUACCGUCGUGCCAAGAAAAGCCUCUAAGUUUAGCAAUGGUUGCCCGUACCGCAAACCGACACAGGUAGAUGAGAUGAGUAUUCUAAGGCGCGUGAAAGAACUCUCUUUAAGGAACUCUGCAAACUAGCACCGUAAGUUCGCGAUAAGGUGUGCCUAUGAAAGUAGGUCUCAGCAAAGAGUCCCUCCCGACUGUUUACCAAAAACACAGCACUUUGCCAACUCGUAAGAGGAAGUAUAAGGUGUGACGCCUGCCCGGUGCUCGAAGGUUAAGAGGAUGAGUCAGUCAGCAAUGAUGAAGCUUUGAAUUGAAGCCCGAGUAAACGGCGGCCGUAACUAUAACGGUCCUAAGGUAGCGAAAUUCCUUGUCGGUUAAAUACCGACCUGCAUGAAUGGCGUAACGAGAUGGGAGCUGUCUCAAAGAGAGAUUCAGUGAAAUUGUAGUGGAGGUGAAAAUUCCUCCUACCCGCGGCAAGACGGAAAGACCCCGUGGACCUUUACUACAGCUUGGCACUGCCGAUGGGAGCAUUAUGCGCAGGAUAGGUGGGAGGCUUUGAAAUCUUCACUCCGGUGGAGAUGGAGCCAUCCUUGAGAUACCACCCUUAAUGUUUCUGUCUGCUAACUGGCUUGAGUUAUCCUCAAGCAGGACAAUGCCUGGUGGGUAGUUUGACUGGGGCGGUCGCCUCCUAAAAAGUAACGGAGGCUUGCAAAGGUUGGCUCAUUGCGGUUGGAAAUCGCAAGUUGAGUGUAAUGGCAUAAGCCAGCCUGACUGUAAGACAAACAAGUCGAGCAGAGACGAAAGUCGGUCAUAGUGAUCCGGUGGUUCUGUGUGGAAGGGCCAUCGCUCAAAGGAUAAAAGGUACCCCGGGGAUAACAGGCUGAUCUCCCCCAAGAGCUCACAUCGACGGGGAGGUUUGGCACCUCGAUGUCGGCUCAUCGCAUCCUGGGGCUGGAGCAGGUCCCAAGGGUAUGGCUGUUCGCCAUUUAAAGCGGUACGCGAGCUGGGUUCAGAACGUCGUGAGACAGUUCGGUCCCUAUCUGCCGUGGGCGUAGGAAAGUUGAGGAGAGCUGUCCCUAGUACGAGAGGACCGGGAUGGACAUGCCACUAGUGUACCAGUUGUUCUGCCAAGAGCAUCGCUGGGUAGCUACGCAUGGAUGUGAUAACCGCUGAARGCAUCUAAG
Molecule: ribosomal RNA, 2795 nt
Filed under: Helicobacter mustelae
Lineage: Bacteria; Pseudomonadati; Campylobacterota; Epsilonproteobacteria; Campylobacterales; Helicobacteraceae
Description: bacterial LSU rRNA
Rfam family: Bacterial large subunit ribosomal RNA
Source: RNAcentral